This 414-nucleotide long non-coding RNA is filed under the name Zonotrichia albicollis (white-throated sparrow). RNAcentral's name for it is "lncRNA (ENSZALG00000000065.1)". Lineage: Eukaryota; Metazoa; Chordata; Aves; Passeriformes; Passerellidae. The record is from RNAcentral.
GCAAAAAAAUCCACCCAGAAAUAGCCCAGAAAUACUCCAAAAAUAGCAAAAAAUCCACCCAGAAAUAUCUCAAAAAUCCCAAAAAAUCCAUCCAGAAAUAUCCCAAAAAUAGCAAAAAAAUCCACCCAGAAAUAUCCCAAAAAUAGCAAAAAAAAUAGCAAAAAAAUCCACCCAGAAAUAUCCCAAAAAUCCCAAAAAAUCCAUCCAGAAAUAUCCCAAAAAUAGCAAAAAAUCCAGCCAGAAAUAUCCCAAAAAUAGCAAAAAAUCCAUCCAGAAAUACCCCAAAAAUAGCAAAAAAUCCACCCAGAAAUAUCCCAAAAAUAGCAAAAAAACCCACUCAGGAACCAGCCAGAAAUACCCCAAAAACCCCUAAAAAUCCACCCAAAAAUCCCCCCAAAAUUCAGGGCUCCCCAA